This 347-nucleotide small RNA is filed under the name uncultured Glomus. Its description in RNAcentral is "SSU rRNA". It matches the Rfam family "Eukaryotic small subunit ribosomal RNA", at positions 569 to 922 of the family's 1831-position model. Lineage: Eukaryota; Fungi; Glomeromycota; Glomeromycetes; Glomerales; Glomeraceae. The record is from RNAcentral.
AGCAGCCGCGGUAAUUCCAGCUCCAAUAGCGUAUAUUAAAGUUGUUGCAGUUAAAAAGCUCGUAGUUGAAUUUCGGGGUCAGUAGGUCGGUCAUGCCACUGGUAUGUACUGGUCUCACUGAUUCCUCCUUCCUGAUGAACCGUAGUGCCAUUAAUUUGGUGUUGCGGGGAGACUGGACUGUUACUUUGAAAAAUUGAGUGUUUAAAGCAGGCUAACGCUUGAAUACAUUAGCAUGGAAUAACGAAAUAGGACGUUCGAUCUUAUUUUGUUGGUUUCUAAGGUUGACGUAAUGAUUAAUAGGGAUAGUUGGGGGCAUUAGUAUUCAAUUGUCAGAGGUGAAGUUCUUG